GAUGAAUGCUGGCGGCGUGCCUAAUACAUGCAAGUCGAGCGGAAAGGCCCUUCGGGGUACUCGAGCGGCGGACGGCUGAGUAACGCGUGGGAACAUACCCCAAAGUGAGGGAUAACCGCCCGAAAGGGUGGCUGAUACCGCAUAUGGUCUUCGGAUUAAAGGAUUUAUCCGCUUUGGGAAUGGCCUGCGUAUGAUUAGAUAGUUGGUGAGGUAAUGGCUCACCAAGUCUACGAUCAUUAAGUGGUCUGAGAGGAUGAUCAGUCAGACUGGAACUGAGACACGGUCCAGACUCCUACGGGAGGCAGCAGUAAGGAAUCUUCCACAAUGGGCGAAAGCCUGAUGGAGCAACGCCGCGUGCAGGAUGAAGGCCUUCGGGUUGUAAACUGCUUUUAUAAGUGAAGAAUAUGACGGUAACUUAUGAAUAAGCACCGGCUAACUACGUGCCAGCCGCCGCGGUAA
RNAcentral lists this ribosomal RNA (459 nucleotides) under uncultured bacterium. RNAcentral describes it as "partial 16S ribosomal RNA". It matches the Rfam family "Bacterial small subunit ribosomal RNA", at positions 28 to 523 of the family's 1533-position model. The record is from RNAcentral.